This 253-nucleotide ribosomal RNA is filed under the name uncultured bacterium. RNAcentral's name for it is "partial 16S ribosomal RNA". It matches the Rfam family "Bacterial small subunit ribosomal RNA", at positions 524 to 776 of the family's 1533-position model. The record is from RNAcentral.
UACGUAGGGGGCAAGCGUUGUCCGGAAUCAUUGGGCGUAAAGCGCGUGUAGGCGGCUCGAUAAGUCUGCUGUGAAAGUCCAGGGCUCAACCCUGGAAAGCCGGUGGAAACUGUCGGGCUAGAGUCCGGAAGGGGCGAGUGGAAUUCCUGGUGUAGCGGUGAAAUGCGCAGAUAUCAGGAGGAACACCAAUGGCGAAGGCAGCUCGCUGGGACUGUACUGACGCUGAGACGCGAAAGCGUGGGGAGCAAACAGG